AAGGAAAGCUUGAAUGAUCAAUGUCUGGACUGGAGAGCUUGAAUUGAAGCCGAAGUUGAAGAAGCAAGUGCAGAAAGCCAUAAGAAACUCGCCUUUUGCAAUAACAAACUCUGUUUCCUCUUCCCUGCCGAUUUCAGACAUUCUUACCAUUGGCAACAGAGCUCGAAAUGCUCUGCUCCAUCAAAACCCACCUUGCGCCCCUUGUCCAUGCUACACCACCGUCAUAUUCUUGUACACUACAAGAAACUUCGAUAAUCGUACAGUUCGAGCUCCUAUGCAGAUACCAAAUUUAGCCCACAGUAACAUAGCUGAAGCUAACCCCACAUUUCUCAUCAAGACGUACGAACAUGCCUGCAGAAGGAUAGUAUAAUUCCCACGUUUUUGUUCCUCAUGUUUACGAACUGCAUAGCGAAGGAAUUGCGCCACUGCGCGCAAGUUAGAGCUUUCAGGCGAGGCAAUUCCCUUCAUGCUUAUUUGAGAAAACUUGGGUGUUUGAACGAUGUGUUUAUUGCGAACAAUUUGAUUUCCAUGUACGCGGAGUUUUCGAAUUUACGAGAUGCAGAGAAGGUGUUUGAUGAAAUGUCUGACAGAAAUAUUGUUACUUGGACCACCCUGGUUUCUGCAUUUACUGAUUGUGGAAGACCUUAUGAGGCACUUCGAGUGUAUGAUGAUAUGCCGAAAUCUGAGACGGCCAAUGGGUACAUGUAUUCCGCGGUUUUGAAGGCAUGUGGGCUUGUGGGUGAUUUGGAUCGGGGUAAGUUAAUUCAAGAAGGAAUAUAUGGGGGUAAGUUGCAGGGUGAUACUAUUUUGAUGAAUUCUCUCAUGGAUAUGUAUGUGAAAUGUGGAAGCUUGAGUGAUGCGGUGAAGGUUUUUCACAAUAUUUCACGUGCGACCACAACUACUUGGAAUAUCAUUAUUUCUGGGUAUAGUAAGGCCGGUUUGAUGGUGGAGGCUGAAAAACUUUUUCAUUGUAUGCCACAGCCAAAUGUUGUAUCUUGGAACAGCAUGAUUGCUGGCUUUGCAGACAAUGGGAGUCAGCGGGCAUUGGAAUUUGUGUCCUUGAUGCACAGAAAGGGAAUUAAGCUUGAUGAUUUCACAUUUCCAUGUGCUUUAAAGAUCAGUGCGCUUCAUGGGUUAUUAGUCAUCGGGAAACAAAUUCAUUCCUAUGUCACCAAAUUGGGGUAUGGAUCUAGUUGUUUUACACUGUCUGCUCUGAUUGAUAUGUAUUCAAAUUGCAAUGGCCUGACCGAAGCAGUCAAGUUGUUUGACCAACACUCUUCCUUCAACACUUCCAUUUCUGAGAACCUGGCACUGUGGAACUCGAUGCUCUCAGGAUAUGUUAUCAACAACUGUGACCAAGCUGCUUUGAAUCUGAUUUCAUACAUCCAUUGCUCGGGUACGAUAAUGGACUCUUACACCUUUGGUGGUGCUUUAAAGGUUUGCAUCAACUUAUUAAGUCCAAGGGUUGGUUUUCAAGUACAUGGUCUGAUUGUCACUUGUGGUUAUGAAUUGGAUUAUGUUGUUGGAAGCAUUCUUGUGGAUCUCUAUGCAAAACUAGGACGCAUCGACGAUGCAUUAGCACUGUUCCAUAGGCUUCCAAGGAAAGAUAUCAUAGCCUGGUCCGGUUUGAUCCUGGGGUGUGCUCAAAUGGGAUUGAACUGGUUAGCUUUCUCAAUGUUCAAAGAUAUGCUCGAGUUGGCUCAUGAAAUAGAUCAUUUUGUCAUUUCAACCACUCUGAAAGUCUGCUCCAAUUUAGCAUCUCUUAGAAGUGGAAAGCAGGUCCAUGCAUUCUGUGUCAAAAGUGGGUAUGAAAUGGAGGGGUUCACAAUAACUUCCCUUCUUGAUAUGUAUUCAAAAUGCGGUGAAAUUGAGGAUGCAUUAACAUUGUUUGAUUGUAUACAAGAAAAAGACAUAGUAACUUGGACUGGGAUCAUUGUAGGAUGUGGACAAAAUGGAAGGGCGGCAGAAGCUGUCAGGUUUUUUCAUGAGAUGAUUCAAUCAGGGCUAAAUCCAAAUGAAAUCACCCUUCUAGGGGUGCUUUCUGCAUGUCGAUAUGCUGGUUUGAUCGAAGAGGCACGAAACAUAUUUAAUUCCAUGAAAUCUGUAUAUGGACUAGAACCUCAUUUAGAGCAUUAUUGCUGCAUGGUUGAUCUUCUUGCUCUAGCUGGGCUACCUGAAGAAGCUGAAAAAUUGAUAGCAAAUAUGCCGUUUGAGCCAGAUCAGACCACAUGGCGCACUUUGCUAGGGGCGUGUGGAACUCGUAACGAUACCAAGCUUAUUAACAGUGUUGCUAAUGGCCUUCUUGAAGCUACACCAGAUGACCCUUCAACAUACGUGUCACUUUCAAAUGCUUAUGCAUCGCUGGGGAUGUGGCAUAACCUAAGCAAAGCGAGGGAGGCUGCCAAAAAGGUGGGAGUCAAAAGAGCUGGGUUAAGCUGGAUUGAGGUUGCGAGUUGAAAGAAAAAAAUACUCCUUUGCUGACUGCAUGGCAGGAAAAUAUCCAUUUUUAAACCUCUCUUGGAAUGAGAGUCAUCCCAUGCAAUUGGUAAAGUGAACAGACACAUGAAAAGGAGAGGCCGCUCUUGCUACCAAAGUUCAAAGAGACUCUACCUUUAUGUCUAUGAGUGGAGGAGGAAUAUUCAGGCAUAAAGUGAUGAUGGCUGAACAACUAAUCAUGACAUCGGUCCCAGAGAGGAAAGACGGUAACUUCCCUACAUUAUUUUGGUUCUUUUCCUUACCCUUGAAAUCCAGUUUUGGACGAUCCUAAUUCAAGCCAUUAAGUCAAGCGGGACAGAACGGAUUAUUCCAAAACGAACAAAAUGGUUUCUGGGCCCUGGCAAGAUUCGAAGGGCUUACUGUACCCACAGUACUUCGUACUUACAGCUGAAUAUGCCUCUAACAACUGCCCAAGACGGCGGCUUCUCUGCCUUCUGCGCCUUUGGUUUCUGGUUUUCAUG
This is an RNA transcript of Cucurbita maxima (winter squash), 2957 nucleotides long. It is a transcript of the gene named pentatricopeptide repeat-containing protein At4g08210, with no coding region annotated. The transcript is spliced from 3 exons. Lineage: Eukaryota; Viridiplantae; Streptophyta; Magnoliopsida; Cucurbitales; Cucurbitaceae. The record is from RefSeq and is a predicted model, not a curated record.